RNAcentral lists this microRNA precursor (96 nucleotides) under Nicotiana sylvestris (wood tobacco). Its description in RNAcentral is "MIR6152 microRNA precursor family". It matches the Rfam family "MIR6152 microRNA precursor family". Lineage: Eukaryota; Viridiplantae; Streptophyta; Magnoliopsida; Solanales; Solanaceae. The record is from Rfam by way of RNAcentral. RNAcentral also lists the same sequence under 1 other name.
UGGAUAGAUUAUUGUAUUCGAUUGUAUUCACGGCGUGAAAUAGGGGAUUACAGCGUUUUUAAAUGGAAAGUGAAACAAUUAACAUAAUAGACUCCU